Molecule: long non-coding RNA, 334 nt
Organism: Octodon degus (degu)
Lineage: Eukaryota; Metazoa; Chordata; Mammalia; Rodentia; Octodontidae
Exons: 3
Source: RefSeq, a predicted model, not a curated record
UUUCCCUGGCUUCCUAAAUGUCUGUUUGUGCAUUUUUUCCUCCCCAGGUGCUGAACAGUGUCACAGAUUCGCUUCUCAUUUUUACGGAUCUGAGUCAAUUGCCCUCAGCCGGAGAUGGAUGCCUUCCAGCUUGGUGACUCUGCAGAAAGGAAGAGGCCAGGCCCUGGCUCCUGGCGGUGUGGGUGAUGGGGCAGCCACAGGGCACAGAAAGCCUCUCCACUCCCACCUCCAGCUCCUGCAGGUUGGAUCCAGACCUGUGUACACCCAUCCAAGGGCAAUGGUUGCAGCUUUGAAGUUCUGAUCAGGCCACCAGAAGACUACAAUAGGAGUUUUG